AGGUUCUUUCUCCACCCAGAGACAGAGUGGAAAUAACUCUGAGUCCACAUCCCUGUAACUGUCCCUUGUCCUGUAUGUGUCCUCACCCAGCCUCAGUCCUUAGGGUCUAUGAGCACCAACCACCAAAGCUACUAGGAAAUGUUUGUUAAAAUGUUAGUAUUCAAUGUUACUUAAGAUUUUAUUACUCAGUAAUGUCUAAUUAGUAUUCUUAUUCUCAUAGGGAGUCUUUCACAUC
Long non-coding RNA from Phyllostomus discolor (pale spear-nosed bat), 235 nucleotides. RefSeq lists it as uncharacterized. The transcript is spliced from 3 exons. NCBI's taxonomy places the organism in Eukaryota, Metazoa, Chordata, Mammalia, Chiroptera, Phyllostomidae. The record is from RefSeq and is a predicted model, not a curated record.